Small nuclear RNA from Electrophorus electricus (electric eel), 179 nucleotides. Its record names the gene U2. It matches the Rfam family "U2 spliceosomal RNA". Rfam says of the family: U2 is a small nuclear RNA (snRNA) component of the spliceosome (involved in pre-mRNA splicing). Complementary binding between U2 snRNA (in an area lying towards the 5' end but 3' to hairpin I) and the branchpoint sequence (BPS) of the intron results the bulging out of an unpaired adenosine, on the BPS, which initiates a nucleophilic attack at the intronic 5' splice site, thus starting the first of two transesterification reactions that mediate splicing. The record is from Ensembl. Lineage: Eukaryota; Metazoa; Chordata; Actinopteri; Gymnotiformes; Gymnotidae.
AUUAGUAAAUGGGGUCGGGGAGUAAUACCAUUCUUAUCAGUUUAAUAUCUGAUACGUCCCCUACCCGGGGACCAUAUAUUAAAUUGAUUUUUGGAACAGGGAGAUGGAAUAGGGGCUUGCUCCGUCCACUCCACGCAUCGACCCGGUAUUGCAGUACCUCCGGGAACGGUGCACCUCCU